This is a long non-coding RNA of Marmota monax (woodchuck), 385 nucleotides long. RefSeq lists it as uncharacterized. The record is from RefSeq and is a predicted model, not a curated record. The transcript is spliced from 3 exons. Lineage: Eukaryota; Metazoa; Chordata; Mammalia; Rodentia; Sciuridae.
AGGAAUUAAAUCAACAACUAGAAAAAAGAAAAAAAAAUGGAAGAACGUGAAAAAAGAAAGAUAAUUGCUGAAGAAAAGCACAAGGAAUGGGUUCAGAAAAAGAAUGGACAGAAAAGGAAAGAAAGAGAACAAAAAAUGAAUAAAGAAAUGGAGGAGAAAGCAAUGAAAGAACUAGGGAAAGAACAUUUGCAGGAAAAAGCAAAAGAAAAAUAUCAAGAAUGGUUAAAGAAAAAAAAUUGCUGAAGAAUGUGAGAAGAAGAAGAAAGAAAAGGAAAAAGAAAAACAAUGGCAAGCCGAAUUACAAGAGAAAAAGGAAAUAGCAGAUAAAAAGUUUAAGGAAUGGUUGGAAAAUGCAAAAAGUAAACCUCGUCCAGCUGUAAAGAGC